UUUCCGUAGGUGAACCUGCGGAAGGAUCAUUAUUGUAUAACCGAGGUGCAAGGGCUGUCGCUGAACCGAAAGGUCGUGCACGCCCGAGUGCCCUCACACACAUCCAUCUCACCCCUAUGUGCACCACCGCGUGGGUCCCCCUUUGGCUUGUUCGGAGGGGGGCUUACGUUUUCACACAAACUUUGUAUGCAGUGUAGAAUGUAUUUUUUGUUUUUGCGAUCACGCAAUCAAUACAACUUUCAACAACGGAUCUCUUGGCUCUC
RNAcentral lists this unclassified non-coding RNA (263 nucleotides) under plant metagenome. RNAcentral describes it as "partial contains small subunit ribosomal RNA, internal transcribed spacer 1, and 5.8S ribosomal RNA". The record is from RNAcentral.